AUAAAGAAGAAAACCGAACUUUUUUUGUUCUUACACAGUGGUUUUUCACUUUUUGGUAAUUACCUUCUAGUUUCUUUCUUCCCAAAAACCUAAAACCCAGUUGCAGACCCGAGAGAGAGAGAGAGAGAGAGAGAGAGAGAGAGAGAGAAUUUUCUUCCACGGUGUUUCUUCUCCCCAAACCCCAGCCACAGACCAGACUUUGUGUUGACUUGCGGAUUUGGGUCUUGAUAUUCGAAACAGAAAAAAGAGGAAGUGAGAACUUGGAAAGCUAAGGAAAAGAAGAAGAGAGCAGUGUAGUCAAAGGCGUUUCAGGCGAGCGCCUAGGCGCUCAGGCGAGGCGAGGCGGCGUAAAAGCGCCUCAAGGUCACUGAGGCGAGGCGCCUUUAGUGAGGCGAGCGCCUUUGUCGACUAGUCGCUCGCCUUGAUCAGUUUUUCCAGGCGUUAGGCGAGAGCCUCCGUCCCCUUUGUUUUCUUUCCAUCGCUUGACUCGCUUUUGUUUUCUUUCUGGUGCGGAGGACUUGGUUUCAUUAAAAAGAUGACUGGCUUUUUUUAAUUUAUAACUCAAUUUUGUCUUUUAGUAACAUUAGUGGGGUUUGAGUUGGCAACCA
Quercus lobata is the source of this 608-nucleotide long non-coding RNA. RefSeq lists it as uncharacterized. The transcript is spliced from 2 exons. Lineage: Eukaryota; Viridiplantae; Streptophyta; Magnoliopsida; Fagales; Fagaceae. The record is from RefSeq and is a predicted model, not a curated record.